UACGUAGGGUGCGAGCGUUGUCCGGAAUUAUUGGGCGUAAAGAGCUCGUAGGCGGUCUGUCGCGUCUGCUGUGAAAACCCGAGGCUCAACCUCGGGCCUGCAGUGGGUACGGGCAGACUAGAGUGCGGUAGGGGAGAAUGGAAUUCCUGGUGUAGCGGUGGAAUGCGCAGAUAUCAGGAGGAACACCGGUGGCGAAGGCGGGUCUCUGGGCCAUUACUGACGCUGAGGAGCGAAAGCGUGGGGAGCGAACAGG
This 253-nucleotide ribosomal RNA is filed under the name uncultured bacterium. Its description in RNAcentral is "partial 16S ribosomal RNA". It matches the Rfam family "Bacterial small subunit ribosomal RNA", at positions 524 to 776 of the family's 1533-position model. The record is from RNAcentral.